Hassallia byssoidea VB512170 is the source of this 392-nucleotide non-coding RNA. Lineage: Bacteria; Bacillati; Cyanobacteriota; Cyanophyceae; Nostocales; Tolypothrichaceae. The record is from Rfam.
GGGGUCGACCGGUUUUGACAGGAUGUGUGAAGCCGCAGGCCAGCAUGCAGGCUCAUGAGGGUAGAGCCUUAACCACUGCUCUCACAAUUUACGUGGCGAAAAUACUUACGCCAUGGCUGCUUAAUCUGACGAUACGUUAGGUUAGCCUCGCCCCGAUAAGAUCGGGGAAGCCAUCAUCGCUCAGUUCUUCGUUCUGCCGGAACUGGUGUAGCGGUGUCGAUAGCCAGGACUGCUCCGUGUGAUGUUGCUAAGCACGGCUAAGACUCAGUAGCUAAGGAAGCGUUUAGGCUGUUGCCUGCCUUGCGAUUCCCGAAAAACAAAGUCAACUAAGCAUGUAGAAUCUGUUGUUUUAUCUUCUCUGGACGAGGGUUCAAUUCCCUCCGACUCCACAU